GAGGGUGCGCAGGCCUUGUCUACAAGGCCUGGGAAAGGCUUCCUGGCCCACUGGGAAGGCAGUGAGGAAGGGUGCCUCUCUACCCAACUGCCGUGCUCCUUUGUUGGCUGGCUGGGUGGAGAAGCUCGGGGGAAAAGCUGGAGGACAGCAGGAGGGAAAGCUCCAUGGGGCCUUGGGCGGCCUCUCCCUACAAUCAUCUCUCAGAGGCACAGGGCAUGUGUGGCUGCCGAUGGAUUUCCCCAGGAGCUGCGUCCAGGAGGCUCCGAGAGCCCUUGGUGAUCUUGGGGAAUUCUGCUGGCAAAGGGCUUGAUGCAAAACAAAGGCCAGUCUGUCCUCUGCAUUCCCCAUGGAAACACCGACUCCAGCGCCCACACAGGCCUGCCCUGUCAGCUGCCAUAGGAAUCUGACUGGUGGCCUGCGGACGGCUAGAGCCUGAGAUCACAGGUGAAGGGUCGCUGUGAAGGGCCACGUGCGUGUCAAGGAGAGGACUGCUCUAGCUCUGAUCCUCUGGUACCAUUGCCCUGAAUAUGGGACCGCUCAGGCCUCUUGUCCAGAAGGUUCCCACAGAGCAGAGGUACUGCGGGGUUUCUCCCCUGGUCAGAGAUGGCUGCGGAAACUGCGAAGGCAUCUUGUGGGUCUCUGAGGCUCAAGACGCUGGGAGGAGGACAGCUCAGGCAACAGUAUGGUGGGUUUGGGAGUCAGGUUCCUAGUCCUGGCUCUGCCACUUCCUUGCUCUGUAAAUCUCUUGCUAAACCUCCAUUUCCUCAUCUUACAACAGUGAAAUCACAGCACCAAACUCCAGAACUGGGCUAGGACUCAGCAAGGUAAGUUAAUCUCCUGGAGGGCACGUAGCCCAGUGCCUGGCAAACAGGAGCUGGUGUUGUCCUCUCACCUCGAUGGUUGGCACACCUAGUGAGAAAGACCUUGUCUUGAAGGCAGUAGGGGAGUGGGCCAUGGUGACAACAGGCCCUGGAGGGCAUGUGCCAGUGUAGCUGAAUCUCAACUCAACACCACUGGUGGGACUUUCCCGCCCUCUGCCAGGGCAGGCACAGCUGAGGCUCUGUAGAGCUGGGUGGUGGGCGCACUGGAGUGUCUCCACAGGAUGUGGCACGGGCAGCUCCAAGGCCUCCUGAGGCUUGGCAACACUCCCCUGCCCUGCCACUACCACCCAAGUGGGAGGUGCACAGCUCCCUGGAGUACCAGACGCCCCAGUCUGGUCCUGACAGGAGGGGCAAGGGCAGAGCAGGACAGAGGGAGGGACGUGCGUCAGUAGGACUGGCCUGAGUGAGUCACACGUUAGCUAUGGCCUCUGGGCUGCCAGUGUUUUUCUCCUUUUCUAGGAACUUAGUUUGUUGCUGGCCUACCAAAAAGAAAGGAGGAAGCAGAAAGAGCCCACAGCACCUCACAUAACCCCAGAAUAGGAUUUCAAAUUUCGGCCCUUUUACAAUCCAAAGUGGAGUAAACUCUCAGUUGCUGCUGCCUUGCCAACACCUCCCCCCAUCUGCUCCUUGGGAGCUCUCUGCUCUGCUGAGAAGGCUUCCAGCUGGUCUGCCUGCUGUCCCAGUGGAGUCACGGCCUGGCAUGAUGGGAGGGAAGGGGCUGGAGCUCCUUCAGGUCAACCCUCAACUGAGCAAGGUGAGAGAGGGGCCCCAGAGCAGAGGGUGUGCCAGAGGACACACAGGAGCAGUGAGUCUCUCUGUACCACACCACCCUGCCCCUCAGGAGCACCCAUGACUCAAGUGAAAGGCAGCCAGAACCUCUGUCUGCCCCAAGACUCAAAAAGGGGGAUUUAGCAGAUUCAGGAAGUACAACUAGUACGUUGGGUCUUAGUGAGGCAGUGGCAUUUGGCACUGACGGGCAUGCGCACACACUCGCUGCAGAGCUGCUACAGCCACGCCGGUGUAUGCGGGGAGGUGCGACCCAGCAACUACACUAUUAGGACCAAGGGGGUCUGGAGAGAUGAGAGUUGGAAGGAAACCCCCCCAGCGACACAAAGGAGCCUCAUCUGUGAAAGGAGCCAGGAGUGCUGGUGUGGUUAGCAGGCAUGAGCCCCAUGGCAUGUUCCCGUGGCAAUCCCGGGAUGCUCAUUUACAGCCAUGAGUGGCUGCUGUGGAAGGCCUGGGAAGUCCAGCUGGAGGGGACAUGGGCUCUGCAGCCAGAUGGAUUUAGGUGCCCAAAAAAUAUGCCUCCUCUUUGGGAACAGUGAGCCUGCAAUCCACAGCAGGAUGGGACUGGCCCAAGGCCCCAGAGAGGGCCAGGGGAAGGGGCAGGACCUGGUCUCCCAACUCUAUGACAACUGGCUCUCCGCAGCCCAGGGCUGGUUUGGUUGGGGCUCCCCACUGCCUCCCCACCUCUCCCGGGCAGUGCAAUGGCUGGGGGACCGCUGGACCCUCUGCAAGGGUGUCCUCUUUGGCCGCUCAACAUGCAGCAGGCCUCAUCUCCAGAAGCAUGAGCCCACGGGUCUCGUUCUCCUGUCUUUCAGCCACAGGCCCUCCAGUCCUGGCUAGAUGAGCACUGGGGUGUGCUUGUGAUACACCAAACCCCAUAUUAGGUAGCCUCUCACCCACUUAUUUGCAUCUUAGGUCAAUCUUCCCAGGAAGGCAAGAUUACCUUCACUUUCACGGAUGAGGAAAUGGAAGCUCAGAAAAGUGCUUGGUACCUCAAUAUAUGAAUUCAAUCAAUUAAUAAGUAACCAAAUGAAUACACUAUCACAGUCCCCAAGAUAAUUAAGAGGCGGCCCUGGGAAGUGAGCCAGGUCUGACCCCCACAUCGGUGCUACUUCCGUCCUCCUAACUCACUCACUCAGCCAGUCCAGGGUUCAAGCAGCCCUGGAAUUUCCUGUCUCCCUCCCUCCACCCUCUGCAGAGUGUGGCAGGGCAAGGUUCUCAUCACUUCACUUUCUCAGCCUGGCAAAUCCCAACUCAUUCUUCACAAAUCCACUCAGGUGGCAGUCACUGUCCCCUCAGAUGCCCCUCGCCCUCUGCACGCUGCUCUUCCACACAUGGUACCAUCUUCUGGUCAGUCCCAUCAGAUGUGGGCUCCAGAGGGCAGUGACAGCUGCUGAGAGUUUCUGUGUGCAGCCCAGGCACCAGGCGGUGCCAGUAGAAGGAUGGGAAGGCUUAGCCACUGAGGUGCACAGCGUCCUCCUGACGGCCUCUCAGGCUGGAGCUGUGGGGUGUGGAGCCCCCAGCAGUAAUUCCCCAUCAGUCGAGAUGGGGCACGAGGCAAUGCCCCCUCCCUGGAGGCCAACCUCCAGGCAGUUUCUUUUCCUCUGGCCUCUGUGGCUUUGGCCCCGUUAAAGGACAGUGGGCCCUGGACCCCUCCUGGCCUGGGCUGGCCACGUCAUGGAAUGAACCACCCACAACACGUCUGCUGUGAGAUCCAGGCUGCCUCUGUGAGCCCUCCAACCAACUCAACACUGAGGAACUCAAGCUGACAGGGAGUUUUUAUUGCCUAAACAGCAAUGACGAUGACAGCGUUCCAGCUGCAGCUCGGUGCUUUACACACGUUCACUCAUCUUCCCAACCACCACUGGAGGGAGGUACUGUUACCGCUAUCCCCAUUUUAUAGACAGGGAAUCUGAGGCCUGGAGACCUGAAGUGACUUGCCCAAGAUCACACCACCUGAAUCCAGGAACUGUCAGCAUCAAAACCUGACUGCUCUCUCUGGCACUGUGCUGACUCUCAUAUAGUAGAUCUGUCUGGGUGGCUGAGGGCUUGGUGGACGCCCAGCUGAAGAAUGGGGCUGUUCCCAGGCCUGUCCAGGAGGCCUCCUGGUCAUUGUGAACCCAGGUCUUCAUUUCCAGAGACACAACUUACAAUGUUGCCCCAAGAAUGGUUCUUGUCAUGUACACGCUGUUAAUCAAUCUCCUUCCCAAGGGACCUGGAACCCCUGAGCACAGGAGCACAGGGAUAUUUGCUAGAUAAACUGAAAUGCCUCAGCAGGCGGAAAAAUGGGUGAUCCCAAAACAACUGUGGAGAUCUACAGAUGGCCCCAAAUGCCGGUUCCUUCUUGUUACCUUUCCUCCCACCUCAGCUUGGCCAACUCCUAACGACACAGCCAAAAACGGCUCAGGUCCAGGCAUGGUGGCUCAUGCCUGUAAUGCCAGCAUUUUGGGAGGCAGAGGCAGGUGGAUCGUCUGAGGUCAGGAGUUCAAGAUCAUUCUGGGAAACAUGGGGAAACCCAAUCUCUACUAAAAAUACAAAAAUCAGCUGCGCGCAGUGGCACAUGCCUGUAAUUCGAGAGGUUGAGGCAGGAGAAUUGCUUGAACCUGGGAGGAACAGGUUGCAGUGAGCCAAGAUUGCGCCAUUGCACUCCAGCCUGGGUGACAGAGUGAGACUCUGUUUCAAAAAGGAAAAAAGGGGGCCCAGGUGUCUUUAAGUGACUUCCUGCUUUCCUCUUUUCUUGGAAAAGUGGCUCUUCAAAGAAAGCCUGGCUGUUGUAAGAUACAAACUGUGCGCAUUGCUGCUAGGCUGUAACCAUCUCCACAAGAGCACAGCUAUUGUGGCCCAGCCUGACUUCCAGCCCAGCCCACACCACCUGCCCUGAAAGUCCUGACAUACCCAGCAUGGCAAGGACACCCGAGAGUCACAUGAGCUGCUCAUGUGGCUGUGGCCCCAGCAAGUGGUAGCCCCCGAAGCCAGCCAGAGGGGGGCGCGAAGGGUGGGGGAAGGGCAGGCCGCUCACCUGGAAGAGGCCAUGGUGGUGCACCACACCAUCCUGCGUGUGCAGGAGAGAGAGCAGCGAGUACUCAGUGUGCAGCAGCAUCUUGCCUUGCCGCUCCUCCUGGCUCUCUAUGCCUUGGUCCCCCCUCUCCUCCAGGGUCAGGAUCUUCAGGAAGGCACAAAAAUAAAACCAAAACCGGAAUACUUCACUUUACACAGGAGAAUGCCAGAAUGGGGGAAGCAGGGGGCUUUCUACCACAUGACAUUUGCACAUAACACACCCACAAACACACUAAGUGAAAUCAUUUUUCUUAAUAUGACAGCAAGGUAAUUUAUGCACAGACAAAACUCCUUAAAUCAGGAGCUGUUCCACGGGAGACCAUGUGAACUUGAUUGCUUCUCAGGAAGAAAUGGCACUACUCUUGUUCACAAGUGACGCAGGUGUGAAGGUGAAGGGGGAGGGGGUUGGCAUGACAGGCCCUGGUCCUGAGGCACCCUCACCCCCACAUCUCACUUACCUUCAACUGAUAGAAGUCAUCCGUGCCAUCUUUCCUUGCCAAACACUGCACAAUGCUUGGCACCGGUGAGUUGCCCAGACGAGGACCUAUGGCACAGAGAGCUGCUGGUCUAUUUUUCAGAAGCCCUGGCUGUCAUGGCGCCAGGUCACCACGUGGUCUUCCACUAAACCUUCUAUUGAGGAGGACACCAUAGCUCAUGUGCACUGGACUGACCUCCCAAGGUCAGCUGAGAGUUUUCAAGGUCUCCCCUCCAAAAAUAGAGAGAGGUAUGUGUGCUCUGCCUGGAACACAUCCAGCUUUUGCAGGCACAUUUCUCAAAGAGAAGUUUUCAACACUGGGUGGACACUGGAAUCUCUAGGAAGCAUCUACUAUAAACAAGAGAUAUAGCCGGGCAUGGUGGCUCACACCUGUAAUCCCAACUCUUUGGGAGGCUGAGGUGGAGGAUUGCUUCAGCCCAGGAGUUUGAGACCAGCCUAGGCAACACAGUGAGACUUCUUUUCUACAAAAAAUAAAAAAUUGGCUGGGCAUAAUGGAGCAUACCUGUUAGUCCCAGCUACUUGGGAGGCUAAGGUGGGAGGAUCACUUGAGCCCAGAAGGUUGAGGCUGCAGUGAACUGUGUUUGUGCCACUGCACUCCAGCCAGGGCAACAGAGCAAAACCCUGUCUCAAAAAACAAACAAAACCCAAGAGAUCCUGGGUCCUGUGAAGAGCAACUUUAGGGUGAGGAUCCAGGAAACUAUAGCUAUAGCAACAGGUUCCCUGGUGAUGCUGAUACAGCCAUCUGGCCUCUGUUCAAGUGCCAGCUUUGGGGACCUUAUGUACUUCUGGAGAUGCACAGUGCUCGUUGUUCUGUGACAGCACCUUGCACGAGCUUUCAGAGUGGAAAUAUGAUGUCAUAGUGCCACUGUUGUGUGAAAAACACUUUUUUUUUUGAGAUGGAGUUUUGCUCUUGUUGCCCAGGCUGUAGUGCAAUGGCGUGACCUGAGCUCACCAUAACCUCCACCUCCCGGGUUCAAGAGACUUUCCCACCUCAGCCUCCUGAGUAGCUGGGAUUACAGGUAUGCACCACCAUGCCCAGCUAAUUUUGUAUUUUUAGUAGAGAUGGAGUUUCUCCAUGUUGGCUAGGCUGGUCUUGAACUCCCAACCUCAGGUGAUCUGCCUGCCUCAGCCUCCCAAAGUGCUGGGAUUACAGGCAUGAGCCACCGUGCCUGGCCAAAAAACUCUUAAUGAAGCUUUGCUGCUCUUUUUUUCCUUCUUACCAGUGCAAUGUUCACAGACCCACUGCUCCUAACAUAGCACCCAAACUCCUUUCUCUGGCCUCCAAGGCCUUGCAUGAUUCACUUCCUGCCCACCUUUCUAACUGAGGAUGUUCCAUGCCCUGUCCCCUGCCAGACUCCAGUGGGCUCCUAAUUCCCAACAUGCUAAGCCCUUUCCUGCUGCUAGGCCUCUGCACGUGCUGCUGCUUCUGUCUGCAAUGCUCUUCCCCAGCUUUUUCUAAAGCUGCUGCUGCUCCUCCUCAGGUGUCAGCUCACAUGGCGCUUCCUCAUAGAGAGGCCUUUCUUGUCUGCCCUACCUACAGGCCUUCUCAUCUCAUGUCAUUGUGGAACCUCCUUCAAGGCUCCUGCACUGCUGGUGAUGAGAUGUUUACUCUGUUUCUUUUUCCAACUAGAAUGUUAAGCUCUGUGAGGGCAGGAACUUGUCUGCCUUAUUUACUGCUGCAUCCCCGGCAAACAGCACAGGCCUGGCACGUGGUACGCACCAUUAAUUAUGUAAUGAAUGAUGAGCUGGAACUAUCCUGUGCCUGUAAGUCCAAAAUUCUGUCCCAAAGUACAACUCACACCCAGUCUCUGGCUGCAACCCUGACUAUAAGCAAUUUGGAUUGCUGGUCCUUACACAUCAGGCAGAAAUGCUCUGCUGCUCCUCUGGCUAACUGCCACACCUGUGCCAGGAUUUAAAGACAUCUGGGAGGCUAUACAAACCGCUUUGUGAAAUUAUGCCAUCAGGAAUAGCAUAAAGCAGUGUCUUGGAUGAUGGUUCUUGGGUUUUAAAUUUUUAUUUUAUUUUAUUUUUUAGAGACAGAGUCUUGCUCUGUUGCCGAGGCUGGAAUGCAGUGGCGUGAUCAUGGCUCACUGUAACCUCAAACUCCUGGGCCCAAGUAAUCCUCCUGCCUCAGCCUCCCAAGUAGCUAUGACUACAGGCAUGUGUCACCAUAUCCAGUUAAUUUUUAUAUUUUUCUUGUAGAGACAGAAUCUCACUAUGUUGCCCAAGCUUGCCAAGUCUUGAACUCCUAGCCAUAAGUGAUCCUCUCACCUCAGCCUCCCAAAGUGCUGGGAUUACAUAAGUGAGCUGCCACACCUGGCCAGAUCUUGGAUUCUAAUGCAGCUAAUGGGUUCUAAUGGAUGUGCUUCCUGUGGACACAGCAACACUGUAGGUGCACACAUAGGAUUCUCUGGGGGGAAGAGACAGAGCCUAGCUAUUGGCUAAGACUGAUCUAAGGCUGGUGCGGCUACAACACUGACAGCCCCUGGUGCAGAGUGACCUAAGGCUUGGGUCUUCCACUGAUACAAUUAUACUCUGCUUCAAGCAGUGAAGCUAGGGACCAGGCCGGGGGCAGGGCAGGACCACACACUGCAGUGGGUGGGCCACCUCACUCUGAUGUCUGUAAGGGUCAGAUCGUGCGAGCCAAUGUGCCCUGCGCCUGCCUCGCAGCACACCCAUUUUUCCCAAAAGUCAGAGGCUUACCAAGGAUGAAUGGUCCAGCUCUCUUUGCAUUAUUUCCAGAAAUCCCACUUCCUAGAGCCUUGGCCCUGGCCGACGUUUCCCCAGCUCCUCUGUCUGAUGCUCUCCGCUUCAUUCUCAGCUCUAGACAAGACAGAAAAGACCCCUUCUCACUGAGUAAGUCG
Molecule: non-coding RNA, 8084 nt
Organism: Callithrix jacchus (white-tufted-ear marmoset)
Lineage: Eukaryota; Metazoa; Chordata; Mammalia; Primates; Cebidae
Source: RefSeq, a predicted model, not a curated record